CUUGCUGACUGUCCAAUUAAAAUGAAGCGCGGGUGCAUUCUAACUUGAAAUAAAAUGGCUGAAGAGAAAAAGGCUGCCAUGUUCCGUCGGAGCUCUGGGCUUCUCGUACAUGCCCCACCUGAUCUCGGGGGUGAAGCGAAGGCCCUGAAUGAUGCGCUGGGAAAACUAAGCGCUGUCACUAGAGCGAUAUCCGCUAAUGUCCGCCAUAUCAAUGAGAGUCUGGAGAGGAUAUUGGUAGAUAAACCAGAUAUUGAAGAGCUGGAGAGGAUAUUAAAUUUCCUAACAGAGAAGAAGUAGAGAUUCCCUGCAUCUGGCAGCAUCCCCAGUGGACUUCUCCUCAGUCUACUAUACAGCCCAUUGUACUGUGGACUAUUCCUAAAUAAAAUGGGACACCGUAAGGAACAAGCUAACCUACUGGAAUGUAACCCAUUUAUUGGGAUGGACACAUGAUUCGCAAUUACAUUUUUGUACUCUAUGGAAGCUUUAGCACAACCACAAACUUGAUUGCGUUACCAAUGUAAAUAGUUAUUCUAGUCUUAAACAUUGCUUCAGUUUGA
Xenopus laevis (African clawed frog) is the source of this 557-nucleotide long non-coding RNA. RefSeq lists it as uncharacterized. NCBI's taxonomy places the organism in Eukaryota, Metazoa, Chordata, Amphibia, Anura, Pipidae. The transcript is spliced from 3 exons. The record is from RefSeq and is a predicted model, not a curated record.